This 261-nucleotide ribosomal RNA is filed under the name uncultured prokaryote. RNAcentral describes it as "partial 16S ribosomal RNA". It matches the Rfam family "Bacterial small subunit ribosomal RNA", at positions 524 to 784 of the family's 1533-position model. The record is from RNAcentral.
UACGUAGGGAGCGGGCGUUAUCCGGAUUUAUUGGGUUUAAAGGGUGCGUAGGCGGCUUUUUAAGUCAGCGGUGAAAUUUUGCAGCUUAACUGUAACAGUGCCGUUGAUACUGGGGAGCUAGGAUUUGGUUGCUGUGGGUGGAAUGUGUGGUGUAGCGGUGAAAUGCUUAGAGAUCACACAGAAUAUCGAUUGCGAAGGCAGCUCACAAAGCCAAGAUUGACGCUGAGGCACGAAAGUGUGGGGAUCAAACAGGAUUAGAUA